Molecule: long non-coding RNA, 2724 nt
Filed under: Homo sapiens (human)
Lineage: Eukaryota; Metazoa; Chordata; Mammalia; Primates; Hominidae
Description: HSALNT0086361
Source: RNAcentral
CGGGCAUGGUGGCUCACGCCUGUAAUCCCAGCACUUUGGGAGGCUGACGUGGGCGGAUCAUGAGGUCAGGAAUUCGAGACUAGUCUAGCCAACAUGGUGAAACCCCGUCUCUACUAAAAAUACAAAAAGUAGCUGGGCGUGGUGGUGGGCGCCUGUAAUCCCAGCUACUCAGGAGGCUGAGGCAGGAGAAUCGCUUGAAACCGGAAGGUGGAGGUUGCAGUGAGCUGAGAUCGUGCCAUUGCACUCCAGCCUGGGCAACAAGAGUGAAACUUCAUCUCAAAAAAAGAAGAAAAAAAAUAAUAACCAAUGCUUCCAGAGUGAGUGAGGGAUACAGACAUAAACUGUGAUCCCCGCCCUGCAGAACUUUACCAUGGAGGUGAAGGCAGAAGAUAUGUACAAAUAAUUCCCAGAAUUUUCUCCUCAAAAUUCAACUUCAGAGAGUACAUGUUUUGACCAAGCAUGUCUCUUGUGGAAUAUCCCUUCCAGCUCUUCAUCUCCCUCAUCCCAGCAGAGCAGUGGGUGUUGUUCACUGGACCUGGGCCAUGCACUGUGUGCACUGCUGAUCGGAACAAGGCAAGGCUUCCUUCCCGGGCUCUGGGAAGCCCCCUGGCAGGGCAGUCCAAGCAUCACAAAGCCGCCCCAGUUUCUUAGCCAGCCUCUCCUGAAGUCUCUGUGGAUGGAGGCUGGAGAGGGCACAGGUGGGGCGGCUCUUUGCCCCACAAUCUCGUCGCUGUGUCUGUGAGUGCUCUAGGGUUGCUGGCCAGGAGGAGAAAGACAGAGGAAGGGUGGAGGCUCAGCUGACAGCAACCGUUCCACAAAGCUUCUUCUGGCAGCGCUGACCCACAUGAGUCCCCUCUGUCUCCAUCUCCAAACAGGCAUUAUUGUAUUACACACUCGGGCACGGCACCAUACUCUCUCUUGACCUGCUCUGUAAAUUGAGCAUAAGCCUCUUCUGCUAAGGGCAAAGGUAUCUGCCAUUAUAAAAAGGACCUCUAGGAGGCCCCCCAAAGGUUGUGGGUUGAACUGUAUCCUUUGAAAUGUACCCCAGAGUGGAAGUCCUCACCCUUUGUAUCUGUGAAUGUGAUCUGAUUUGGAAAUAAGAUCUUGGCAGAUAGAAUAAUGAUGUCAGUUAAGAUGAGGUCACUCUGAACUAGGGUGGGCCCUUCAUCCAACCUGAGUGGUGUCCUUAUAAAAAGAGGAGAAGAGACACAGAGAGAGACACACAUACAGAGGAGGAAAAGCCGUGCUGAGACACAGACACAGAGAGGAAAGACAGCCAUGUGGUAAUGGAGGCAGAGACUGGAAUUCAGUUUCUGUAAGCCAAGGAAUGCCAGUGAUGGCCGGCAACCGCCAGCAGCUGGGAGAAUGACUGUGGCCCUACUAAUACCUUGAUUUUGGACUUCUAGCCUCCAGAACUGUGAGAAUAGAUUUCUGUUGUCUUUAGUCACCUAGUUUAUUAUAAUUUGUUAUGGCAGCAUGAAUAUGUGUGCUUGUAGCCCAGGAAGCUAAUAUACCCCUUCCUCCAUGAAAGCAGAAAAAACACAGAUACAAAUUAUUAAGCAUUUACCACACACUAGGCAAUGUUUGAUAUAUACUAUACCAUUUGAUUGUCGCAGAAAUCAAUAGAUGUGGGUGCAUGUAUUCUUUUAAUAACUGAGGGUUCCAGAGAAGCUUAGCAAUUGACCCAACAUCACACAGCUGGUACAUAGAUGGUGCCACUGGAAAUUGAAUGUUGUCUCAAUAGCUCCCAAGCUUUGUCUCUGAGAGAAUGAAUCUCUUGUACUGGUGAUGGGGCAGGAGAAGAUCACAUGAAUAGGUCUUCUCUGCCCAGAACAUCUUCUUUUUCUCAACACAGGAGGCCCACUUGUCAGGUUAGGUCAACACCUAAAUGACUGAAAGAGACUCAACCAAGCCUGGAAUCCUCACAUGUUCUUGGAAACCAUGAGAUCAAGAGCCUUGCUUUUCAAUAGUCCUUGGAGCCUGGAUACAUGCAAGGUCCUGGGGCCCCACUUUUUGAGAGUGGGGGACCGGAAGGAAGAGUGGAGGAUGAGAGUGGCCUAUAUUGGCAGUCUGUGUUCCAGAACUAUAUUUAGCAACUCAUUUAGAUGAUGACCGUGAGCCCAACAUGAUGACAGGGCUCAAUUACAUCAGUUCUCCCUAUUGCUGUGAAACAAUGAAGGCUUGUUGUGUUCAUUAGUCAAUUGGAUUCCACUUCCAAAGUACAUACAAUGCUUAUAAUUAUGGGCAACUUGGAGGGGAGAUCCCAAUUUGCCUCUGCUGGUUCAACAAAAAUCACAUUUGGAAAUUUAAAGGGACAGUUAUAUGCCUGUAUCUUUGUUGUCAGCUGCGUUAUCAGGCGAUAAUAUUUUUUUCACCAAAGAAGCUUGAAAAACAAUUUCAAUGUUGUUGACAAAUACAGCUUCCAUGACUUUGGGCUUCUUGAGGCCAAGAACUGUAUUUUACUCAUGUCUUUCUCCUCAGCUCUUAGCACUUCUCUGAGACAUCUUGUGAUCAAUAAUAUUUUGUUGAAUAAGUGAAUGAAUGAGAUCCUAUUCAUCUGGCAGAAUAUUCUUUACUAGAAAAUUUACCGACUUAAAUGUUCAUCUGUAUCAACAUUGGAUCUAAGUACUGUUUCUAUUUUUUUUUUUUUUUUGGCCUUUUCUACCCUUCCUCAAAUUAAAAACAAUAGCAGCAGCAACAACAAAACAACCCCAGGAAUGGUAG